AAUCAACGCUGGCGGCAUGCCUAACACAUGCAAGUCGAACGAGAAAGUGGAGCAAUCCAUGAGUAAAGUGGCGACCGGGUGAGUAACACGUGACUAACCUACCUUCGAGUGGGGGAUAACCUCGGGAAACCGGGGCUAAUACCGCAUAACAUCUUUGAAGUGGAAAUUUCGAAGAUCAAAGGAGCAAUUCGCUGGAAGAGGGGGUCGCGGCUGAUUAGCUAGUUGGUGGGGUAACGCCCACCAAGGCUUAGAUCGGUAGCCGGCCUGAGAGGGCGCACGGCCACACUGGAACUGAAACACGGUCCAGACUCCUACGGGAGGCAGCAGUGGGGAAUUUUGCGCAAUGGGGGAAACCCUGACGCAGCAACGCCGCGUGGAGGAUGAAGUCCCUUGGGACGUAAACUCCUUUCGACCCGGACGAUAAUGACGGUACGGGUGGAAGAAGCCCCGGCUAACUUCGUGCCAGCAGCCGCCGUAAC
RNAcentral lists this ribosomal RNA (479 nucleotides) under uncultured bacterium. Its description in RNAcentral is "bacterial SSU rRNA". It matches the Rfam family "Bacterial small subunit ribosomal RNA", at positions 32 to 524 of the family's 1533-position model. The record is from RNAcentral.